GGAGGGUGUAGCUCAGUGGCAGAGCGCCUGCCGAGCAUACAUGAGGUCCUGGGUUCAAUCCCCAGUACCUCCA
Molecule: transfer RNA, 73 nt
Filed under: Vicugna pacos (alpaca)
Lineage: Eukaryota; Metazoa; Chordata; Mammalia; Artiodactyla; Camelidae
Description: tRNA-Und (NNN) (tRNA-Und-NNN-36-1)
Rfam family: tRNA
About the family: Transfer RNA (tRNA) molecules are approximately 80 nucleotides in length. Their secondary structure includes four short double-helical elements and three loops (D, anti-codon, and T loops).
Source: RNAcentral